AGGAGUAGGCGUGGUCUUAUCAUAGAUAGGGUAAAGGGAGCCGUGGUCUCACGAUAGUGGGGGUAAUAGGUAACUUAGGUGGGGGUGUUAAGGUCAAUUAAAAUGGGGAUUAAAGUGCGCAUGCGCACUAUAACUUCAUGUCAGUGGUGGGGUAGGUAGCCAUUCGGAAAUGGUUGUCUCCUCCUACGAUGUCAUCUACUGGAGGGUAAGGUAAACCUCAUGUGAACUGAUAACGGUAACUGAUAAAAGUACGUGUAAACAUACACAUUACAUUGAAAUAGUGUACGUCAAAUAGUGGCCGCCGUUGCCACUUUAACAUAUUUACUUAAUAUUAACGCUACAAAGUCUUCAUCAACAAUUCCUAUACAGGAAAGGGGUAACGAAACAUAACAUAAACCAACCUAUAAUGGGUGGGGAUGAAUCCAAGUUAAACUAAAACGUUUUCUAAGAAUUUUUAUCAUUGCCUACCAGACGCAUAGGUAAGCAUAUUUCCAACAUCAAAGGCACCGCCAUAUUAUAACUCACAUUACCGUCUACAUUUUAUAAGAACAAAGACAACCUCUCUCGUUUUGGCAUAAUAAAUUCUAAGAAAUUUAUCAUGGGUAACCAGACGCUUAGCUAAGCAUAUUUUAAACAUCAAAGAUUUCGCCGUACAGUAAUAAUCACUGUUGUAUGCAUUUAUUUUUUACAUAGUAUUUUAUUGUUGGUAACCAGACGCUUACGUCAGCAUAUUUCAAACGUCAAAUGUAUUACUAUAUUAUAACUCACAUUACCGUCUACAUUUUAUGAGAACAAUGGCAACGUCUGUCGUUUUGGCAUAAUAAAUUCUAAGAAAUUUAUCAUGGGUAACCAGACGCUUAGCUAAGCAUAUUUCCAACAUCAAAGGUACCGCUAUAUUAUAACGUUCAUAGGCGUCUGCAUUUUUAUUUUUUACAUAGUAUUUUAUCAUUGCCUACCACCAGAUGCUUAGAAAAACAUCUCGUUAAUAUUAGUAUAUUACUAUUAAUUAUAUAAUUAAUAUAAUUACUAUAAUUGGUAAUAUAUUUUUAGAAUUACUAUGUUUAGGUUGCUAUAAUAGUAUAAUCGCUAUUAUUAUUAUUUUCUACUGCGCCUUUAAAAUAAUAAUAUGUGUAUCGCAUUUUAUUUUAUUAUAUUUAAUUUGACAAUUUUUUUAUACCUAUAACUAGAGGUAUUACAUUUAAAGUCGCUCCCCCACUACCAGCACCCCCGAGUCUUCACUGCGUUUAUCAUUUAAUGUAUACAUUACAUUGAAAUAGUGUACGUCAAGUAGCGACCGCCGCCACCACACUUGACUAUUCCUUGAACGAUUUGUAACAAACUCUAUUAAGACAAUUGGGUGUGAGGUGCGCACAAUGUUUGAAACCCAAUGAAAACUAACCUAAGUCAGGGGAGGGGGAUUUCCUCAACAUGUCGUAAUGAGCGACGGGGUAAUGAAACUUAACUUGAAACCAACCGCCAUAUUAUAAUCCCACAUUACCGUCAACAUUUUACGAAAAAUAAUUGCUGUCUGCGUUUUAUCAAAGUUAUCUUUUUCUAAGAAUUUUUAUCAUUCCCUACCAGACACUUAGGUAAGCAUAUUUCAAACAUCAAAGGUACCGCCAUAUUAUAACACACAUUACCGUCUACAUUUUAUAAAAACAAAGACAACGUCUGUCGUUAUGGCAUUAUAAUUUCUAAGAAUUUUAUCAUGGGUAACCAGACGCUUAGGUAAGCAUAUUUAAAAUAUCAAAGAUUUCGCCGUACAGUAAUAAUCACUGUUGUAUGCAUUUAUUUUUUACAUAGUAUUUUAUCGUUGGUAACCAGACGCUUACGUCAGCAUAUUCCAGAGAUCAAAUGUAUUACUAUAUUAUAACGUUCAUUGGCGUCAGCAUUUUAUGAGAACAAUGACAACGUCUGUCGUUAUGGCAUAAUAAAUUCUAAGAAAUUUAUCAUCGGUUACCAGACGCUUAGGUCAGCAUAUUUCAAACAUCAAAGAGGUCGCCGCAUAGUAAUGUCGUAUGAAUCUUAUCAUCGGAUGCCAGACGCUUAGGUCAGCAUAAUUCCAAAGAUGUUACAAUAUAUUAAUGGCCAUUGUUGUAUCUAUUUUAUGAGAAAAAUGGCAACGUUGUCUUUUUUCACGCCUACGCGUUUUAUGAGAACUAUUGCUAUCAUCGUUUACCAGACGCUUACGUCAGCAUAUUUCAAACAUCAAAGAGGUCGCCGCAUAGUAAUGAUUAUUGUCGUAUGAAUCUUAUCAUCGGAUGCCAGACGCUUAGAUAAACAUAUUUCCGACAUUAUUUGUGUAGUACCUGUUUAAACCAACCAAAACUUGUCUAAACAACAUCUUUGACCCCUAUAAAAGAACGUCACAUCAAUUUCAGGAUCAUUCACUCAUUAUCUCUUCUAAAGCGAUUAUACCAAAAACCAUUUGUUUGAUUAUUUGUUGUCCUAAAGAAUUUCUAUGACUUUUGAUAUAAAAUAAAAUGGAGCAAUUAAAGAAACAGUUGAACGAUCAGAGUGCAUUAAAAAGAUAUUCAAAAUUAAGUGAUUUGGAGGAACACACGCCAUACAAAAUCAUAUCUAUGAAAAAUACAAGCACACGAAAUGGGGUUGUCGUUGUUGGUUGUCUAUUCAACAAUAUGAAUGUGUUUAUCCCGAGAUUGAAAUUAACUAAUGAAGAAAUCGAAGCUUACAAUAUCAACAAUGAUGAUAACAAAAUACAUUUAUUAUAUAGAGGCAAAAGUGGAAAUGCAUAUUUGUUUGAUUUUCAGUAAUUUGUU
Molecule: long non-coding RNA, 2780 nt
Organism: Daktulosphaira vitifoliae (grape phylloxera)
Lineage: Eukaryota; Metazoa; Arthropoda; Insecta; Hemiptera; Phylloxeridae
Exons: 3
Source: RefSeq, a predicted model, not a curated record